The sequence is a ribosomal RNA, 403 nucleotides long. It matches the Rfam family "Bacterial small subunit ribosomal RNA", at positions 355 to 774 of the family's 1533-position model.
UGGGGAAUAUUGGGCAAUGGGGGAAACCCUGACCCAGCGACGCCGCGUGAGGGAAGAAGGUUUUCGGAUUGUAAACCUCUGUCUUUGGGGACGAAUAAAUGACGGUACCCAAGGAGGAAGCCACGGCUAACUACGUGCCAGCAGCCGCGGUAAUACGUAGGUGGCAAGCGUUGUCCGGAAUUACUGGGUGUAAAGGGAGCGUAGGCGGGGAUUCAAGUUGAAUGUUAAAACGAUCGGCUCAACCGGUCGUCGCGUUCAAAACUGGAUCUCUUGAGUGGAGUAGAGGUAGGCGGAAUUCCUAGUGUAGCGGUGAAAUGCGUAGAUAUUAGGAGGAACACCAGUGGCGAAGGCGGCCUACUGGGCUUUUACUGACGCUGAGGCUCGAAAGUGUGGGUAGCAAACA